This 919-nucleotide long non-coding RNA is filed under the name Ovis aries (sheep). RNAcentral describes it as "lncRNA (ENSOARG00000027014.1)". Lineage: Eukaryota; Metazoa; Chordata; Mammalia; Artiodactyla; Bovidae. The record is from RNAcentral.
UCUAUUCCCCGCGGUCCCUACACGCUCCGGGCCGCCGCGGCCACCAGGGCGAAGCGCUCGCCCCUGGACCGUAGGAGCUAAGGUGAGAAAAUUCUGGGCGCCCACACACACUUGGACAUAAUGAACUCCCCGGCCUGGACUUCCCCCACCGUAUACGCCUGCCUACUCAGAUGGGGCGACUGGAAACAUGAUGCUUGGUUAGGGAGUGAUGCAAAUCGCCAACGGAUUUGCCUGGCCCUGGGUGGUGGACAACAGGUAGAAGGAGCUCGCGCGCGUUCUGUUCUGGGUGGUGGCUUUUAUACCUCUCCGAAACCAUAGCAACGGAUCCACUCUGCUGACAGGAUUUGGGGAGCAAGCUGGUAGUCUCCAAGUGGCCCUCUUAGUCCAACUUCUGUCAUUUCCCUAUGAGAAAACCUUGACCUGCGCUUCACCCCCACCUCCACCUCGAAUGCACCCUUAUCAAUGGGCUUCCCCCGGGUAUUCGUACUCCGUUAGACCUGCCGUCACGGCGCCCAUCUCCCUGCCUCCAUCUCUAAAUCAGAGACAAUCCCGGGUCAGGGGCUGGGGGCAGAAGGGUCAGCGGACAGUCUCUGAGCCCGUCUGGAGCCUCAGUGGCAGACGCCUACUUUCCUCCCAGAUCCCUGACCUCCCAAUCCAAAUAAAUCGCAGAAGGAAGUUGGGUUCGAGAUCUGAUGGGCGCCGAACCGUUGGUCUCAGACUCAAAGACUGGCGAAGGAAGCCAAGGAGAGCUUCAGGCCUGGCGGCCGCCGGUCUAAAAUCUCCAGUAAACUUCUUAAAUAGGCUUGAAUUGGGGAGAGGAUACCUAAAUUUCCGAGACUUCUCGAAGCCCGGCUUCCAGGGAGGGGCAGCCGGCGGCGAGCAAACCCGGCUCCCCUUGCUUCUGAGUAGAAACGAUUAG